UAACCACUCCCGCGUGCGGGGUCUUGGGCAUCGCCUCCGGGCGGGCCUUAAAAUCAGUGGCGGUGCCGUCGGGCUCUACGCGUAGUACAUAAUCCUCGCGAUAGGGUCCCGGUGGAUGCUGGCCAACAACCCCCAACUUCUUAA
This 144-nucleotide unclassified non-coding RNA is filed under the name uncultured Hymenoscyphus. RNAcentral describes it as "sequence contains ITS2". The record is from RNAcentral. Lineage: Eukaryota; Fungi; Ascomycota; Leotiomycetes; Helotiales; Helotiaceae.